Molecule: ribosomal RNA, 587 nt
Filed under: Physarum album
Lineage: Eukaryota; Evosea; Eumycetozoa; Physariida; Physaraceae
Description: SSU rRNA
Source: RNAcentral
AUGCUCCUUCUGAAGACUAAGCCAUGCAUGCCUUCGAAUAAGAAGUUUGCAAUUUCCGAAUCUGCGAACGGCUCCGCACACCAGUUGUUGACUAACGCAGGAAAGCCUCGGGUGAAAGGUGCUUAAUUGCGCCCUAACCCUUGGCUGCCAUGGAUAAUCGCGGUAAUUCUGAGACUAAUACAAGAACGUAACACCCUUCGAACCGAGCAAUUGGGACGUUGGGRGUCGUGUGAGCUGAGGCCGACUAAAAUGAUAUGGGAUGAAUACGCGCACGAUCGUACCGCCAUAAAAAACGAUCUUGGUUCUACGCUUAGUAUCGCAAGAGAAACGCUAGUCCUCGUUCGGGCGGUACCAGUAAUGUGCUUCUGACCUAUCAACUAGACUGCGUUUCCAUGGACUGCAAUGGUCACAACGGGUACAGAGGAUAAGGGUUCGAUCCUGGAGAGUGGGCCUGAGAGAUUGCUCAUACUUCUAAGGAAGGCAGCAGGCGCGCAAAGUUCCCAAUGGGCAAAGCCCGAGGGCGUGAAGGGACAUAUGAAUACCUGCCUAUGGUGGGUAAUUCAAAUGGGACUGUUUUAAACACCCUA